RNAcentral lists this transfer RNA (75 nucleotides) under Gammaproteobacteria bacterium. RNAcentral describes it as "tRNA-Gln". It matches the Rfam family "tRNA". Rfam says of the family: Transfer RNA (tRNA) molecules are approximately 80 nucleotides in length. Their secondary structure includes four short double-helical elements and three loops (D, anti-codon, and T loops). Further hydrogen bonds mediate the characteristic L-shaped molecular structure. tRNAs have two regions of fundamental functional importance: the anti-codon, which is responsible for specific mRNA codon recognition, and the 3' end, to which the tRNAs corresponding amino acid is attached (by aminoacyl-tRNA synthetases). tRNAs cope with the degeneracy of the genetic code in two manners: having more than one tRNA (with a specific anti-codon) for a particular amino acid; and 'wobble' base-pairing, i.e. permitting non-standard base-pairing at the 3rd anti-codon position. The record is from RNAcentral. Lineage: Bacteria; Pseudomonadati; Pseudomonadota; Gammaproteobacteria.
UCGGCGUUCGUCUAAUCGGCAAGACGCAAGACUUUGACUCUUGAGAUCGUGGUUCGAGCCCGCGGCGCCGAACCA